This 891-nucleotide long non-coding RNA is filed under the name Gallus gallus (chicken). The record is from RNAcentral. Lineage: Eukaryota; Metazoa; Chordata; Aves; Galliformes; Phasianidae.
CCUCAUUCAGGUUCUUGUUGAAGUCUAUGCAAAGGACGCUCAGCUUUUUCUUAAUAGCUUUGAUUUUCUCCUGUGUUUCCUCAGGGAGAUGGAGACCAUUUCUUUUGCCCAAUUUGAUCAGCCUCUCCAGGUACCUCUUUGCUUCAGGCUUCAGUGAGGCACUCUCUGCUUUCUCCUGGAGCCAGACAAUCCUCUGGUACACAUCCUGCCUCAUGCUCAUCUCCACAUCGAACUCUGAGAGCUUCUUGUCAGCCUCAGUGCUUGCUGCACGGAUGUCUUUGCAAGGAGAGACGUGCUGGGGGAAGUCCAGCAUGUUCCGACGGACUGUAUAUUCCACUUCCACAUCCGCCAGUGCCUUCAGGGUGUUCUCAUAGGACACCUCGCCCUGCUCCUGGGAGCCCACCCGGUCGUACACCAGCUUGGUCCUCUCGGUGAGCUCUGCUGCCAUGCGCUCGAUCUGCUCAGCGCUCAGAUCCCAGCGCAGCUGGUUGGCUGGCGGGCGGGGGGACUGACUGUCCACCACGUUGCCUGUGGGGGGAGCCAUGCCGGGAGGCCGCGGGGCCCCGCUGCUGCUGACGAGGCCGCGAGGAAACCGCGCCGGCCCCGCGCACCGAGCAUGUGCCUGAGCAGAGAGGCGGGCGGGCAGAGCGGCCGUGCUGAGGGAUUGUGGGAGCGGGGAGGACCGGGCCGCUCUCUACGUCUCUUCAGCUCAGCGCGGCGCAGGGAGAGCGGCCCGGUCGUCGUCCCCGCUUCGCCCGUGACCCUGAGCGCCAUCGCGCCGCCGGCAGCGGAGCCCCCGGCCCGGUCGGGCCGCACGCCCGUUCCCAUGGCGACACACCCCCGGCCGUCUCUAUGGUUAACGAGGAGGAGUUGCAGCCGCGCUUCCGGCCU